RNAcentral lists this long non-coding RNA (222 nucleotides) under Oryza sativa Indica Group (long-grained rice). RNAcentral's name for it is "lncRNA OsGoSa_05g0024710". The record is from RNAcentral. Lineage: Eukaryota; Viridiplantae; Streptophyta; Magnoliopsida; Poales; Poaceae.
UCCCGCAUUGUACUUGGUGAAGUCCCCAGUCGCAGUAUCAAAUGCAACAUCAGUACCAACAGCAAAAGCCCCAGUUCCAAACACACCAGAAAAGCUAACAAGAGGAUUUGCAUUCAGGCCAACAAUAGCAUUCAGGCCAGCAUGUGGAUGCAAACUUCUGGUAGGGAAAAGGAAUGGAUAGAAUUCCCUUCAGGCCUGGAGUGCCCAGAUCAUGAACUGUGA